GACGAACGCUGGCGGCGUGCUUAACACAUGCAAGUCGAGCGAGGCCUUUCCUUCGGGAGAGUGUCCUAGCGGCGAACGGGUGAGUAACACGUGGGCAACCUGCCCUCAGCUCUGGGAUAACUCCAAGAAAUUGGGGCUAAUACCGGAUAUGACCGCUGACCGCAUGGUCUGGUGGUGGAAAGAUUUGUCGGCUGGGGAUGGGCCCGCGGCCUAUCAGCUUGUUGGUGGGGUAGUGGCCUACCAAGGCGACGACGGGUAGCCGGCCUGAGAGGGUGACCGGCCACACUGGGACUGAGACACGGCCCAGACUCCUACGGGAGGCAGCAGUGGGGAAUAUUGCGCAAUGGGCGAAAGCCUGACGCAGCGACGCCGCGUGGGGGAUGACGGCCUUCGGGUUGUAAACCUCUUUCAGCAGGGACGAAGCGAAAGUGACGGUACCUGCAGAAGAAGCACCGGCCAACUACGUGCCAGCAGCCGCGGUAAUACGUAGGGUGCAAGCGUUGUCCGGAAUUAUUGGGCGUAAAGAGCUCGUAGGCGGUUUGUUGCGUCGGCUGUGAAAUCCCGAGGCUCAACCUCGGGUCUGCAGUCGAUACGAGCAAACUAGAGUGUUGCAGGGGAGACUGGAAUUCCUGGUGUAGCGGUGAAAUGCGCAGAUAUCAGGAGGAACACCGGUGGCGAAGGCGGGUCUCUGGGCAACAACUGACGCUGAGGAGCGAAAGCGUGGGGAGCGAACAGGAUUAGAUACCCUGGUAGUCCACGCCGUAAACGUUGGGCGCUAGGUGUGGGGCUCAUUCCACGAGUUCCGUGCCGCAGCUAACGCAUUAAGCGCCCCGCCUGGGGAGUACGGCCGCAAGGCUAAAACUCAAAGGAAUUGACGGGGGCCCGCACAAGCGGCGGAGCAUGUUGCUUAAUUCGAUGCAACGCGAAGAACCUUACCUAGGCUUGACAUGCACGGAAAUCCUCCAGAGAUGGUGGGUCCGUAAGGGCCGUGCACAGGUGGUGCAUGGUUGUCGUCAGCUCGUGUCGUGAGAUGUUGGGUUAAGUCCCGCAACGAGCGCAACCCUCGUUCUAUGUUGCCAGCACGUCAUGGUGGGGACUCAUAGGAGACUGCCGGGGUCAACUCGGAGGAAGGUGGGGAUGACGUCAAAUCAUCAUGCCCCUUAUGUCUAGGGCUGCAAACAUGCUACAAUGGCCGGUACAAAGGGCUGCGAUACCGCGAGGUGGAGCGAAUCCCAAAAAGCCGGUCUCAGUUCGGAUUGGGGUCUGCAACUCGACCCCAUGAAGUUGGAGUCGCUAGUAAUCGCAGAUCAGCAACGCUGCGGUGAAUACGUUCCCGGGCCU
RNAcentral lists this ribosomal RNA (1341 nucleotides) under uncultured bacterium. Its description in RNAcentral is "bacterial SSU rRNA". It matches the Rfam family "Bacterial small subunit ribosomal RNA", at positions 28 to 1381 of the family's 1533-position model. The record is from RNAcentral.